RNAcentral lists this ribosomal RNA (1376 nucleotides) under Clostridioides difficile. RNAcentral's name for it is "bacterial LSU rRNA". It matches the Rfam family "Bacterial large subunit ribosomal RNA", at positions 1534 to 2925 of the family's 2925-position model. The record is from RNAcentral. Lineage: Bacteria; Bacillati; Bacillota; Clostridia; Peptostreptococcales; Peptostreptococcaceae.
AGGCAAAUCCGCUUUGAUAAUGCUGGGAUGUGAUGGGGAGCGAAAUUUAGUAGCGAAGUAGCUGAUUUCACACUGUCAAGAAAAGUCUCUAUCGAGGUUAAAGGUACCCGUACCGCAAACCGACACAGGUGGGUGAGGAGAGUAUCCUAAGGCCAGCGAGAGAACUGUUGUUAAGGAACUCGGCAAAAUGACCCCGUAACUUAGGGAUAAGGGGUGCCACCAUCCGGUGGCCGCAGAGAAUAGGCCCAAGCGACUGUUUACCAAAAACAUAGGUUUCUGCUAAGUCGCAAGACGAUGUAUAGGAGCUGACGCCUGCCCGGUGCUGGAAGGUUAAGGGGAUCUGUUAGAGCAAUCGAAGCAGUGAACUUAAGCCCCAGUAAACGGCGGCCGUAACUAUAACGGUCCUAAGGUAGCGAAAUUCCUUGUCGGGUAAGUUCCGACCCGCACGAAAGGCGUAACGAUUUGGGCACUGUCUCAACAACAGACUCGGUGAAAUUGUAAUUCCGGUGAAGAUGCCGGAUACCUGCGACAGGACGGAAAGACCCCAUGGAGCUUUACUGUAGCUUGACAUUGGGUCUUGGUACUACAUGUACAGGAUAGGUGGGAGGCUUUGAAACCAGGACGCCAGUUUUGGCGGAGCCAUCCUUGGGAUACCACCCUUGUAGUACUGGGACUCUAACCAUAGGCCAUGAAUCUGGUCUUGGGACACUGUCAGGUGGGCAGUUUGACUGGGGCGGUCGCCUCCCAAAAGGUAACGGAGGCGCUCAAAGGUUCUCUCAGUACGGUCGGAAAUCGUACGUAGAGUGUAAAGGCAAAAGAGAGCUUGAUUGCAAGACAUACAGGUCGAGCAAGGAUGAAAAUCGGACUUAGUGAUCCGGUGGUUCUGCGUGGAAGGGCCAUCGCUCAACGGAUAAAAGCUACCCUGGGGAUAACAGGCUUAUCUCCCCCAAGAGUCCACAUCGACGGGGAGGUUUGGCACCUCGAUGUCGGCUCAUCACAUCCUGGGGCUGUAGUAGGUCCCAAGGGUUGGGCUGUUCGCCCAUUAAAGUGGUACGCGAGCUGGGUUCAGAACGUCGUGAGACAGUUCGGUCCCUAUCCGUCGCAGGCGUAGGAAAUUUGAGAAGACCUGUCCUUAGUACGAGAGGACCGGGAUGGACGUACCUCUGGUGUACCAGUUGUUCUGCCAAGGGCAUGGCUGGGUAGCUAUGUACGGAAUGGAUAAGCGCUGAAAGCAUCUAAGCGCGAAGCCAACUUCAAGAUAAGAUUUCCCACCGCAAGGGUAAGACCCCAGAAAGACUAUCUGGUUGAUAGGUCGAAGGUGUAAGUGCAGCAAUGUAUUUAGCUUAUCGAUACUAAUAGGUCGAGGACUUGACCAA